ACGGCGCGAGAAUGCCGGUUGUGACUCGCAACGCCCGGGAGUUGCCUACAAGGAAACUGAGUCUGUGUGCGGAUGCCUGUUUUCUGGGCAUCGGCUGCUCGAUAAAACUCAGUGGCGCAUGUUUGUCACCCUUUUGCCCUGUUCCGUGGUGCGCAGGCGUUGUCGUGCGCGUGCCUUCGACUAUCUAAAACUUACUGUACCCCCUUCUCCAUUCCCCUUGUCAUCUCUGCCUGUUGUGCCCUUGGUUCAUCCUAAAAGAAUGGCUUCAGUAGGGAAUCUGGUUGCCAUGGUUAUUAUCGUGCUUAUCACCGUGGUGCCAGCCACAGUGAUGGGUAUGUUUUCUGAAUCUGGGGCAUUUGGGGGGAUAUGAGGUGGGAAGGUGACGGAUAAUUUAGUUUUGGACACGUUAAGUUUGAGUGCCUCUGGGAUUUCCAGGUAGAGAUUCCCAGUGGGUGACUGGAGGCUUGGGAGUGAAGGUAGGUCACUCAAGGAUAGAGUUUAGGGGUAAGAUGAGAAGAGGGUUCUCCCCUUGAAAUACACCGUAAUUCUUUGAGCCAAAAAUCUCAACCGUAGGCGUCAUACAAUGCUGGUGGGAUGGUAUAGAGCGUUUCGAGAAAACAAUUUAGCAAUAUGUAUCAGGAACCUUUAAAAUGUCCAUCCCAGGCCAGGUGCGGUCACUCACGCCUGUAAUCCCAGCAUUUGGGAGGCCGAGGCAGGCGGAUCACUUUGUAGCAGGACGAGCCACAGACAAAA
Molecule: long non-coding RNA, 753 nt
Filed under: Homo sapiens (human)
Lineage: Eukaryota; Metazoa; Chordata; Mammalia; Primates; Hominidae
Description: novel transcript
Source: RNAcentral